This is a long non-coding RNA of Haliotis rubra (blacklip abalone), 211 nucleotides long. RefSeq lists it as uncharacterized. Lineage: Eukaryota; Metazoa; Mollusca; Gastropoda; Lepetellida; Haliotidae. The transcript is spliced from 3 exons. The record is from RefSeq and is a predicted model, not a curated record.
UCGUUUUACAUGCUUUCAGAAUGUGUGAAAACUUCUGAAUGAAAAACAUGAAUGGAAUGAGUGAUGAAAGUAGUACCGGUAAUGUCAAAGUUCACGUAUUAGCCAAUCAAAUCAAUCGAAGGUGUUAUGACACAUAUGUGUCAGAACACUUUGUUAUGAAACCCCUUUACGAAGUACCACGUGGGUAAUAAUAGACAAUAUAAUAUCUUAA